Molecule: ribosomal RNA, 377 nt
Filed under: uncultured bacterium
Lineage: Bacteria
Description: bacterial SSU rRNA
Rfam family: Bacterial small subunit ribosomal RNA
Source: RNAcentral
UAAUACGGAGGGUGCGAGCGUUGUUCGGAAUCACUGGGCGUAAAGCGCGUGUAGGCGGCUCUAUAAGUCUGGUGUGAAAGCCCGGGGCUCACCCCCGGAAGUGCACUGGAUACUGUAGAGCUCGAGUCCCGGAGAGGAAAGUGGAAUUCCUGGUGUAGCGGUGAAAUGCGUAGAUAUCAGGAGGAACACCGGUGGCGAAGGCGGCUUUCUGGACGGUGACUGACGCUGAGACGCGAAAGCGUGGGGAGCAAACAGGAUUAGAUACCCUGGUAGUCCACGCUGUAAACGAUGAGUACUAGGUGUCGCGGGUAUUGACCCCUGCGGUGCCGUAGCUAACGCAUUAAGUACUCCGCCUGGGGACUACGGCCGCAAGGUUA